RNAcentral lists this ribosomal RNA (440 nucleotides) under uncultured bacterium. Its description in RNAcentral is "partial 16S ribosomal RNA". It matches the Rfam family "Bacterial small subunit ribosomal RNA", at positions 338 to 795 of the family's 1533-position model. The record is from RNAcentral.
CCUACGGGGGGCAGCAGUGGGGAAUAUUGCACAAUGGGGGAAACCCUGAUGCAGCGACGCCGCGUGAGUGAAGAAGUAAUUCGUUAUGUAAAGCUCUAUCAGCAGGGAAGAAAAUGACGGUACCUGAGUAAGAAGCCCCGGCUAACUACGUGCCAGCAGCCGCGGUAAUACGUGGGGGGCAAGCGUUAUCCGGAUUUACUGGGUGGAAAGGGAGCGUAGACGGCAGUGCAAGUCUGGAGUGAAAGGCGGGGGCUCAACCCCCGGACUGCUCUGGAAACUGUACGGCUGGAGUGCAGGAGAGGUAAGUGGAAUUCCUGGUGUAGCGGUGAAAUGCGUAGAUAUUAGGAGGAACACCAGUGGCGAAGGCGGCUUACUGGACUGUAACUGACGUUGAGGCUCGAAAGCGUGGGGAGCAAACAGGAUUAGAUACCCGAGUAGUC